UAAAAGCGGAAAAGACCGGUAUGUUUAUCCACACACACACACAUUCAUAUAAAUGUACUGUUGCUAUAUUGUCGAGCAAUAAAAAUGCGAAAAAAGAAAAGAAAGAAGAAAUCAAACUUUCCUACGGGCUAUGGGCGGCUCGACGCUUAUGACUCUGUCAAAAUUUCCAUAAGCAUGCUGAUGACUGAUAUGAGUAUGUAGGCUUCCAACACUUUCGUGUAAACAUACACAUGAUUCGCAUAAAAAAGUCACUCUCCAGCAAUAGUUAGCGCCAAAAUACAAAGCACGAUUUUCCCGUGUCAUUUUUGCGGAGCAAAUUCCAAAUGAUUUUUUGAAUCAUACGCGUGAGAUUAGUUCGCACAUUGUGCGCCAAAAGCCAUACAUACAUACAUACAUACAUAGAGACAUAGCUGAGAGCAGAGCAGCGUAAGAACAAAAACGCGGUAGCAUGCUCAGGGUUAAAUAUAAAAACAUCGCGACAAAUCUGCACAUUAGUUAUAUAUACUCGUACAACGCAACCACCUUCAGCGCGCGUUGAACACUCGGUGCAGUCCCGUCUUGGCCGCUUGUAUUUCGAAAAUCAUAUAAAAUUUAAUAUAUUUUGUACGAUAUAAUAAAAUAUCAUCAACCUUUAGUAUAUAUACAACAACAGCAAUAAACAAUAAAAUUACUAAAUAGCGCCGAGACUAGACACACGAGUGAUUUUUGCAAUAACUGCAGUUAAACAAAAGAUACACGGAUAAUAAAAUAGAAAACAAGCAAAUUAUAUAAAGAAGUAAAAUCGGAAUUUAGCAAACAAAUUCGUAUUUUCUACGGUAGCGGUGAGCAAACUUUGAACGGCACAUUUUAGUAGCUGAAAAUAUUUCGAGAAAAAAUAUACACCGUGUGGCAGAGGAAGGCAAAUAUUAAUUUGGGCAAGUGGUGAACGUGAACGUCGUCUCGAGCAACACCACAAGUGAUUGAACAGUCAAAUAGCGCCACAGCAAUUGAAUAACUUGAAGCACCUGAGCCAGAAAAAAAAAUACAACAAAAAAGACACAUACACGAGUGUAUAAUUAAUUAGCAGAGAUUAGUUGUAUACAUUAC
Zeugodacus cucurbitae (melon fly) is the source of this 1086-nucleotide long non-coding RNA. RefSeq lists it as uncharacterized. The transcript has 2 exons. The record is from RefSeq and is a predicted model, not a curated record. NCBI's taxonomy places the organism in Eukaryota, Metazoa, Arthropoda, Insecta, Diptera, Tephritidae.